Molecule: ribosomal RNA, 492 nt
Filed under: uncultured bacterium
Lineage: Bacteria
Description: partial 16S ribosomal RNA
Rfam family: Bacterial small subunit ribosomal RNA
Source: RNAcentral
AGUGAACGCUGGCGGUAGGCCUAACACAUGCAAGUCGAACGGCAGCACAGUAAGAGCUCGCCCUUACGGGUGGCGAGUGGCGGACGGGUGAGGAAUACAUCGGCAUCUACUUUUUCGUGGGGGAUAACGUAGGGCAACUUAUGCUAAUACCGCAUACGACCUACGGGUGAAAGCAGGGGAUCUACGCACCUUGCCUGAUAGAUUGAGCCGAUGUCGCAUUAGCUAGUCGGCGGGGUAAAGGCACACCAAGGCAACGAUGCGUAGCUGAUCUGAGAGGAUGAUCGGCCACACUGGAACUGAGACACGGUCCAGACUCCUACGGGAGGCAGCAGUAGGGAAUAUUGCGCAAUGGGCGAAAGCCUGACGGAGCAACGCCGCGUGAGUGAAGAAGGCCUUCGGAUCGUAAAACUCUUUUAUGAGGGAAGAAAAAAUGUGUAAGUAACUAUGCACGUCUUGACGGUACCUAAUCAGAAAGCCCCGGCUAACUACGUG